This is a long non-coding RNA of Mercenaria mercenaria, 469 nucleotides long. RefSeq lists it as uncharacterized. The transcript is spliced from 4 exons. The record is from RefSeq and is a predicted model, not a curated record. NCBI's taxonomy places the organism in Eukaryota, Metazoa, Mollusca, Bivalvia, Venerida, Veneridae.
UUUACUAUACCGCAAAGAAGAAGAAAUUGUACUGGGCCGACACCUUACGAGACGGCAUUUAUGUUUGUUGUACUCGAUUACAAAAAUAAUGUGCUUGAUUUACGAAAAGAUUGGAUUACGCACUUAAAUCCAGUAAACUACUUACCCAAAACCCUGAAAUGAGAGCGCUUGGACAAUGUGAAGUUUGUCGCAUAGACGGGGAUUGACCGCCUUUGUGUAUAUAAGUCUACAACUUCUCAGAUUUGACUGAAGACAAUUGUUUGGUGUUGUGAAUAGAGAAAUAUAUGAGGUAGGGCUCUGCAGUUUUCCAUAAACACAAGAAGUUUACAUUUGUUGCACAGAGUUGAAGGAAUUGUUAUAGGAAAGGUGUACAGAAUGUAAGGAUAUGAUAGCCAAACAUCUUCCCCAGGAUUCGAUGCGGUAACCUUCUGAUAGAAAAAUGUACCCGUUGUGCAAAGGGGAUAAGCUG